AUGACAGCCGACCUGGGAGGGCUGCAGGGGGGCUCUCCCCGGGCAGGGCUGGGCUCAGAGCCCCCGCCUAGGCAGAGGCACGUGUGCGUGCAUCUGUGGCCUGCACCCCCAUGGCCCAGUGCUGCUCUGGCAGCUUUACUCCAUCCUGUCCAGUCCUCACUGUGGCACCAGACGUCCUGUGACACCCUGGGGCUGGCCCACGAUCUUCCCAGCUACUCGGGGCCAGCGCAGCUCCCCCAGACCCCUCACAGCCGCCCCCAGGAUGGUUCCCACACUGGCCUCAGGACUCGAGGGCUCACCUGGUACGGGUGGCACAGCCCAGGCCAAACAAGGCCUGGCGCAGAAGAGGAGCCUGCCUGGGUAUGGGGCCUGGGGCGGGGGAGGUGGAGAGGUCUGCGUAAAAUGACAAAGUCAAGUGCACGGCGAGAUGGAACCCACAGUCUGUGGCCAACAGUCACUGCCCAGCCAGCCAAAGGAAGAAACCAAUCCUCAGGGUCAGGGGAGGCUUUGGACUCAAGUGUGGGGGGAGGGGGGAAGGAGAGGGAAGCGCCCCGGAGGGGGGCCAGGCUGGAGCACAGGAUGGGCCCUGUGGUGGGCUCCGUCAUGGGCUGCGGCACCAGCACCGCUGGGGUUAAGUCCUGUCUGGUGCGGUGGCCUCAGAGCCGAGCGGUGGUGCCAGGAACUCAGAAGCUGCAAUGUGAGAAGCAGCAGCAGAGGGGCAGGGCUGCAAAGGAGAGAGGACGGGGUGCCGGCAGGACCCUGAGGCUCCCCCUGUGCCUCGUUCCCCCCUGCCCUGUGGCUGCCCUGCCACGGCCCCCACUUGUGGGGGCCCACGGCCACGGCUGGGCCCCAAGCCCUCGGGCCGGGGUGGCAGCAGGCCUGUGGCACACAUCCGGGGAAGGGGCUGAGCGCCCAGGGCAGGCAGCAGGGAAAGCACAGGGCCCGCCGGCUGUGCCAGAGCACCAAAGGGCGAGCACCAGGCCGGCCGGGCCAGGGGCAGGCUGGGGAGGGCGGGCAGGUUGCUUGGGGUCCCAACCUCAGAGGCCUGGCCUUGACACCCUCCUCCUUGAGCAGAACUGA
RNAcentral lists this long non-coding RNA (1080 nucleotides) under Canis lupus dingo (dingo). RNAcentral describes it as "lncRNA (ENSCAFG00020025016.1)". Lineage: Eukaryota; Metazoa; Chordata; Mammalia; Carnivora; Canidae. The record is from RNAcentral.